UACGUAGGGGGCAAGCGUUGUCCGGAUUCAUUGGGCGUAAAGAGCUCGUAGGCGGCUUGGCAAGUCGGGUGUGAAAACUCCAGGCUCAACCUGGAGACGCCACCCGAUACUGCCAUGGCUAGAGUCCGGUAGGGGACCACGGAAUUCCUGGUGUAGCGGUGAAAUGCGCAGAUAUCAGGAGGAACACCGGUGGCGAAGGCGGUGGUCUGGGCCGGAACUGACGCUGAGGAGCGAAAGCAUGGGGAGCGAACAGG
This 254-nucleotide ribosomal RNA is filed under the name uncultured bacterium. RNAcentral's name for it is "partial 16S ribosomal RNA". It matches the Rfam family "Bacterial small subunit ribosomal RNA", at positions 524 to 776 of the family's 1533-position model. The record is from RNAcentral.